GAAUGGACUGAAGGGGGCGCAGCAAAGAUAGCCACUGUUGUCCUGACAACAGAGGUGAAGGAUCUGAUAAGCAGGCAGUGGAUUUGUACAUUGAUACUUUGCUAUCAACCUUCCAUCUCCAGAAUAGGGUACAUUACCUCUCAUAAUGUGGAAAAAAUGGGCAAAAUGUGGAACACCUACUAAAAACUUACUAACAACUUCAAGAAGGAAGCUCAUAAAUGAUUAAAAUGUGCUAUUUUAUACUUAUAAAAAGUUCUUCUGAUGCAUUAAUAUGAUUCAAUAGUAGUAUUUAGCAUGGAUAUCAGUAAAAAAUUCCUAACAUUGAAUGAGUGACAGACCCUUUCAGUGUGGAACUUUGAGGAACAUAAGCUUUUUAAAACCCAAAAUGAGGAACAUUCCUGCUAAUGAGGUCACUUGAGAGGUAUAUUUCUAAAAUGUGUUUUGCUUUCAAUUUCAUUUUCUUGAUAGACUGUCUAUGAUAAAAUACUAUAAUAAAUGUUGAGUUGAGUAGA
Molecule: long non-coding RNA, 512 nt
Organism: Protopterus annectens (West African lungfish)
Lineage: Eukaryota; Metazoa; Chordata; Ceratodontiformes; Protopteridae
Exons: 2
Source: RefSeq, a predicted model, not a curated record